AGACAGGCAGCUCCUAAUGUUUAAAGGUAUAAGCUUUUAUAAGUUUCCAGGUACUAAACUGGCACUAUUUAAUUUUCCUAAUCUUAGGGUAGACAGCUAACAAAAUUAGAAUCUCAAAUUCAUCCAUGCCAUUAACCAAAGGUUAUGUACACACACACAAACACACACACACACACACACUGAAAUGGUCCCCUACUUAUGAUCGUUAGAAUUUUCUGACUUUAUGAAAUGGUUCAAUGACUAUAUAAAUUUUGAUCUUUUCCUAGGUUAAUGACAUGAAGUAUAGUACCCUCUUGUGGUCCUAUACAGUCGCAGUGGACCACAGCGCUCCAUCAGCCAUGCCAUCAUGAAGUUAUUGCAAAGAUUAAAAAAGAAGUCAACAGCACAUCCGGCACAGGACCGGGCAUAGAUACCCAGCACCUGGACCAUACCCCUCCAGCUGCAACGACUGUAAAUUCAAAGAAUGCAAUCGAGCCAAUGUUUCUAUCAUAGCCACAUAUAUGGCUGAGCGUUCUGCUGGGCUAACUCCAGGAAGUGUAAAGUCACGAAAGAUUCGGCCCUGUGGAAGUAAUUACAAUGGGUAAUUUAAAUGCUUGAAACCAAAACUAAUACUUUGUAGAAUAUGUCAGAAAUACAUUCGUUUGUGAAACAUAUUUAAUAUAAGAGUAUACAUUCAGAGGGAAAAUAUAAGGAUGUGCCAAGAUGAACGUAAAGGUCAAAACUACUCUUCACUUUAAUGUUACAAAAAACAAAAUAAAA
Molecule: long non-coding RNA, 759 nt
Organism: Sciurus carolinensis (gray squirrel)
Lineage: Eukaryota; Metazoa; Chordata; Mammalia; Rodentia; Sciuridae
Exons: 3
Source: RefSeq, a predicted model, not a curated record